GUGUGACGUGAAAGGCCGAAAAGUCAGCACUCCUUGACAAGGAUGGAAGAGGCCCUGGGGUCUGACAACGCGCAUGCGCAUGCGCUGAAGGCACAGCCGCCCACUGCCUGGCAUCUAACUGUGGCUUAGCGAUUUUUU
Heterocephalus glaber (naked mole-rat) is the source of this 138-nucleotide small nuclear RNA. The record is from Ensembl. NCBI's taxonomy places the organism in Eukaryota, Metazoa, Chordata, Mammalia, Rodentia, Bathyergidae.